AACGAGCGCAACCCUCGCCUUUAGUUGCCAUCAUUUAGUUGGGCACUCUAAAGGGACUGCCAGUGAUAAGCUGGAGGAAGGUGGGGAUGACGUCAAGUCCUCAUGGCCCUUACGGGCUGGGCUACACACGUGCUACAAUGGUGGUGACAGUGGGCAGCAAGCACGCGAGUGUGAGCUAAUCUCCAAAAGCCAUCUCAGUUCGGAUUGCACUCUGCAACUCGAGUGCAUGAAGUUGGAAUCGCUAGUAAUCGCGGAUCAGCAUGCCGCGGUGAAUACGUUCCCGGGCCUUGUACACACCGCCCGUCACACCAUGGGAGUUGGUUCUGCCCGAAGGCACUGUGCUAACCGUAAGGAGGCAGGUGACCACGGUAGGGUCAGCGACUGGGGUGAAGUCGUAACAAGGUAGCCGUAGGGGAACCUGCGGCUGGAUCACCUCCUUUCUAAG
Molecule: ribosomal RNA, 445 nt
Filed under: Salmonella enterica subsp. enterica serovar Alachua
Lineage: Bacteria; Pseudomonadati; Pseudomonadota; Gammaproteobacteria; Enterobacterales; Enterobacteriaceae
Description: bacterial SSU rRNA
Rfam family: Bacterial small subunit ribosomal RNA
Source: RNAcentral